Molecule: regulatory RNA element, 147 nt
Organism: Citrobacter koseri ATCC BAA-895
Lineage: Bacteria; Pseudomonadati; Pseudomonadota; Gammaproteobacteria; Enterobacterales; Enterobacteriaceae
Rfam family: Molybdenum/Tungsten riboswitch aptamer (Moco RNA motif)
Source: Rfam
UGCUUAAAAAGACACUCUAGCCUCUACGCCUGUGUCAAAUUGAUAUGGUGUUUUGGCCGUGACAAGCCUCGAAAGAGUUUGCCACCAGGGCGCAGGAAGAAAUGACUCCGCCUCCCGUAUUUGGAAAGGUGUACAUGGCCUCACAAC